AUGCACGCUGGCGGCGUGCCUAAUACAUGCCAGUCGAGCGAACAGACGAGGAGCUUGCUCCUCUGACGUUAGCGGCGGACGGGUGAGUAACACGUGGAUAACCUACCUAUAAGACUGGGAUAACUUCGGGAAACCGGAGCUAAUACCGGAUAAUAUAUUGAACCGCAUGGUUCAAUAGUGAAAGACGGUUUUGCUGUCACUUAUAGAUGGAUCCGCGCCGCAUUAGCUAGUUGGUAAGGUAACGGCUUACCAAGGCGACGAUGCGUAGCCGACCUGAGAGGGUGAUCGGCCACACUGGAACUGAGACACGGUCCAGACUCCUACGGGAGGCAGCAGUAGGGAAUCUUCCGCAAUGGGCGAAAGCCUGACGGAGCAACGCCGCGUGAGUGAUGAAGGUCUGCGGAUCGUAAAACUCUGUUAUUAGGGAAGAACAAAUGUGUAAGUAACUAUGCACGUCUUGACGGUACCUAAUCAGAAAGCCACGGCUAACUACGU
RNAcentral lists this ribosomal RNA (495 nucleotides) under uncultured bacterium. RNAcentral's name for it is "partial 16S ribosomal RNA". It matches the Rfam family "Bacterial small subunit ribosomal RNA", at positions 29 to 506 of the family's 1533-position model. The record is from RNAcentral.